This 458-nucleotide ribosomal RNA is filed under the name uncultured bacterium. RNAcentral describes it as "partial 16S ribosomal RNA". It matches the Rfam family "Bacterial small subunit ribosomal RNA", at positions 338 to 795 of the family's 1533-position model. The record is from RNAcentral.
CCUACGGGUGGCAGCAGUGGGGAAUAUUGCACAAUGGGGGAAACCCUGAUGCAGCGACGCCGCGUGAGUGAAGAAGUAAUUCGUUACGUAAAGCUCUAUCAGCAGGGAAGAAACACUGACCUUACGGUCAGCAGACGGUACCUGAGUAAGAAGCCCCGGCUAACUACGUGCCAGCAGCCGCGGUAAUACUUAGGGGGCAAGCGUUAUCCGGAUUUACUGGGUGGAAAGGGAGCGUAGACGGUGGGCCAAGUCUGGAGUGAAAUGCCGCAGCUUAACUGCGGAACUGCUUUGGAAACUGGCGAACUAGAGUGCGGGAGGGGUAAGCGGAAUGCCUAGUGUAGCGGUGAAAUGCGUAGAUAGUAGGAGGAACACCGGUGGCGAAGGCGGCUUACUGGACCGUAACUGACGUUGAGGCUCGAAAGCGUGGGGAGCAAACAGGAUUAGAUACCCCAGUAGUC